UGAACUUAAGCAUAUCAAUAAGCGGAGGAAAAGAAACCAACAGGGAUUGCCUCAGUAACGGCGAGUGAAGCGGCAAUAGCUCAAAUUUGAAAGCUGGCGUCUUCGACGUCCGCGUUGUAAUUUGUAGAGGAUGCUUCGGCGAGGACUCCUGCCUAAGUCCCCUGGAACGGGGCGUCACAGAGGGUGAGAAUCCCGUACGUGGCGGGCGGUCCGAGCCAUGUGAAGCUCCUUCGACGAGUCGAGUUGUUUGGGAAUGCAGCUCUAAAUGGGAGGUAAAUUUCUUCUAAAGCUAAAUACUGGCCAGAGACCGAUAGCGCACAAGUAGAGUGAUCGAAAGAUGAAAAGCACUUUGGAAAGAGAGUUAAAAAGUACGUGAAAUUGUUGAAAGGGAAGCGCUUGCAACCAGACUCGCUCGCAGUUGCUCAGCCGGCCUCUUGGCCGGUGCACUCUUCUGCGAUCGGGCCAGCAUCAGUUCGGGCGGCCGGAUAAAGGCGUCGGGAAUGUAGCACCCUUCGGGGUGUGUUAUAGCCCGGCGCGGAAUGCGGCCAGCCUGGACUGAGGAUCUCGCUUCGGCAAGGAUGCUGGCGUAAUGGUUGCAAGCGGCCCGUCUUGAAACACGGACCAAGGAGUCUAACAUCUAUGCGAGUGUUUGGGUGUCAAACCCAUGCGCGUAAUGAAAGUGAACGGAGGUGGGAACCCCUCGCGGGGCGCACCAUCGACCGAUCCUGAUGUCUUCGGAUGGAUUUGAGUAAGAGCAUAGCUGUUGGGACCCGAAAGAUGGUGAACUAUGCCUGAAUAGGGUGAAGCCAGAGGAAACUCUGGUGGAGGCUCGCAGCGGUUCUGACGUGCAAAUCGAUCGUCAAAUUUGGGUAUAGGGGCGAAAGACUAAUCGA
Molecule: ribosomal RNA, 893 nt
Filed under: Phyllosticta ampelicida
Lineage: Eukaryota; Fungi; Ascomycota; Dothideomycetes; Botryosphaeriales; Phyllostictaceae
Description: eukaryotic LSU rRNA
Rfam family: Eukaryotic large subunit ribosomal RNA
Source: RNAcentral